GCAUCAUUACGACGAUGAUGAUGAUGAUGAUGAUAUUGACUCUUCUUCUAUGAACAACGACGACGAAUACAUCAUCAUCCUCAUCAUCAUCAUCAUCAUCCUCG
This 104-nucleotide microRNA precursor is filed under the name Bigelowiella natans CCMP2755. Its description in RNAcentral is "miRNA EPrBNAG00000013617". The record is from RNAcentral. Lineage: Eukaryota; Cercozoa; Chlorarachniophyceae.